This 723-nucleotide long non-coding RNA is filed under the name Setaria italica (foxtail millet). Its description in RNAcentral is "long non-coding RNA (SITA_LNC002271)". Lineage: Eukaryota; Viridiplantae; Streptophyta; Magnoliopsida; Poales; Poaceae. The record is from RNAcentral.
UGGAAGAUAAGACCAAAUUGUUACAAAAGAACAAAAAAAAAGGGGAACAUUUGAAGGUACAUUUGCAUUUUUUUAGGUCUAGCACAUAAUUUCAAUGGUGAAAUCAGUUUCUAAGAAGUGCCACUCACCUUAUGUAACCACUUGCUAUAUAGUUAGCAUGAAGCAUGUCAGCUCUGCUAGUAAGGUUGAGUUAAAUCGUGGAAGGUGCUGAAGGUCAUGGUUGCCCCUCAAACAGUUCUCGCUCCUCCAGCAGUGGUCAUGGUUGCAGGAUCUUGCCUGCUUGCUUAACGCACUGCCUUGCCUGCUUGCUUCAAGCUUGUGGGCAGAACCCCUUGCUUAGAAUAAGUGUGGCAGCUGAGUGACACCCAGCACCAAGCCUUAGCCAGCAUCAUCACCACUUCUUAGAAGGUUAAAUACUUUGUGAACAUAGGGGCAACUGCCUACCCACACUCUCAGCCAUCAGAUCGGCACCGGAGGGCUGAGGUUGAGCCACGUCACUUCAGCCCACAGGUGACGUGGCUCAAUCUCAGCCCUCCAGUGCCGAUCCGAUGGCUCAGAGUGUGCCACGUCAUAAGGUGGGCAGCUAGCCCAUAAAAUCCACUUUCCUUCUUAGAAUACUGCUUGAAUCUCAAAGUUGCUUAUGUAUCUUGACCAUUAUAUGUUUGUAGGUAAGAGGUUUACUAAUUGUACCAUAGUAAACAAUCAUUCCUUUUUCAGUUUGGC